Molecule: ribosomal RNA, 327 nt
Filed under: uncultured eukaryote
Lineage: Eukaryota
Description: partial 18S ribosomal RNA
Rfam family: Eukaryotic small subunit ribosomal RNA
Source: RNAcentral
CCCUUAGAUGUUCUGGGCCGCACACGCGCUACACUGAAGGAGGCAGCGUGUACUCCUGGAUCGAAAGAUUUGGGUAACCCGCGAAUCUCCUACGUGCUAGGGAUUGAGGUUUGCAAUUAUCCUUCAUGAACGAGGAAUUCUCAGUAAGUGCAAGUCAUAAGCUUGCGCUGACUACGUCCCUGCCCUUUGUACACACCGCCCGUCGCUACUACCGAUUGAAUGAUUUAGUGAGGACUUCGGACUGGGACCGAUGCGGCUUUCGGGCUGCGUCGGUAUUCUGGAAAGAUGUCCAAACUGUAUCAUUUAGAGGAAGUAAAANUCGUAACA